UCAAUAGCAAGGUUGUGGCCACCAUCUUGGCUUUUUUACCCUCCCUGCAGGCAUCCCUGACCCUGGCCAUGCAGGAGCGUAUAAUCUAAUGCAUCUGGAAGGCACCAGAUAGAGGGCGUGCAGUCCAGGGAUGAAAUGUUGUGGAUGCAUGGGAAACAGGCUAGCUUUGGUCACCAUUAAGUGAAGCUCACCUCACCUCCUUUCAUAACUGUGAAAUGAAUUUUGAGUGACGCUGAUUAUAGCAACUGCCGUCUGGCCCUGGUUAAACCUAAUUACAAUCUCAUGUCGGAUUGCACUCCAUUAUUGUUUCCAGGAUAGUUUGGGAAGAAUGAGCAAGACAGAAGAAAGAAUGGAUGAAUUUUUAGAAGGGAAAGUGUUAGUGGACCAUUCAGUCUUACAGUGUGUGCUUCACUUUUCUUCUUGCAAUUUGUUUACUUAUAAAACACAAUCUCCAAUCUAUGUAAGGAAAUCGACUUGAUCUGGUGAUGUUGGAUCACAGGACAGAAAACAGAGGUUGGAGGUCAAAGAAUAAAGCCAUCAUACUGA
Long non-coding RNA from Pantherophis guttatus, 546 nucleotides. RefSeq lists it as uncharacterized. NCBI's taxonomy places the organism in Eukaryota, Metazoa, Chordata, Lepidosauria, Squamata, Colubridae. The record is from RefSeq and is a predicted model, not a curated record.